This 91-nucleotide transfer RNA is filed under the name Pseudomonadales bacterium. RNAcentral's name for it is "tRNA-Ser". It matches the Rfam family "tRNA". From Rfam's summary of the family: Transfer RNA (tRNA) molecules are approximately 80 nucleotides in length. Their secondary structure includes four short double-helical elements and three loops (D, anti-codon, and T loops). The record is from RNAcentral. Lineage: Bacteria; Pseudomonadati; Pseudomonadota; Gammaproteobacteria; Pseudomonadales.
GGAGGGGUGGCAGAGCGGUUGAUUGCACCGGUCUUGAAAACCGGCAUAGGCUAAUACCCUAUCGAGGGUUCGAAUCCCUCCCCCUCCGCCA